GAACGCUGGCGGCAUGCCUUACACAUGCAAGUCGAACGGUAACGCGGGGCAACCUGGCGACGAGUGGCGAACGGGUGAGUAAUACAUCGGAACGUGCCCAGUAGUGGGGGAUAGCCCGGCGAAAGCCGGAUUAAUACCGCAUACGACCUACGGGUGAAAGCAGGGGAUCGCAAGACCUUGCGCUAUUGGAGCGGCCGAUGUCAGAUUAGGUAGUUGGUGGGGUAAAAGCCUACCAAGCCUACGAUCUGUAGCUGGUCUGAGAGGACGACCAGCCACACUGGGACUGAGACACGGCCCAGACUCCUACGGGAGGCAGCAGUGGGGAAUUUUGGACAAUGGGCGCAAGCCUGAUCCAGCCAUGCCGCGUGCGGGAAGAAGGCCUUCGGGUUGUAAACCGCUUUUGUCAGGGAAGAAACGCUUUGGGCUAAUACCCCGAGGUAAUGACGGUACCUGAAGAAUAAGCACCGGCUAACUACGUGCCAGCAGCCGCGGUAAUACGUAGGGUGCAAGCGUUAAUCGGAAUUACUGGGCGUAAAGCGUGCGCAGGCGGUCCUAUAAGACAGAUGUGAAAUCCCCGGGCUCAACCUGGGAACUGCAUUUGUGACUGUAGGGCUUGAGUACGGUAGAGGGGGAUGGAAUUCCGCGUGUAGCAGUGAAAUGCGUGGAUAUGCGGAGGAACACCGAUGGCGAAGGCAAUCCCCUGGACCUGUACUGACGCUCAUGCACGAAAGCGGGGAGCAAACAGGAUUAGAUACCCUGGUAGUCCACGCCCUAAACGAUGUCAACUGGUUGUUGGGAAGGUUCCUUCUCAGUAACGUAGCUAACGCGUGAAGUUGACCGCCUGGGGAGUACGGCCGCAAGGUUGAAACUCAAAGGAAUUGACGGGGACCCGCACAAGCGGUGGAUGAUGUGGUUUAAUUCGACGCAACGCGAAAAACCUUACCUACCCUUGACAUGGUUGGAAUCCCGCAGAGAUGUGGGAGUGCUCGAAAGAGAACCAGCACACAGGUGCUGCAUGGCCGUCGUCAGCUCGUGUCGUGAGAUGUUGGGUUAAGUCCCGCAACGAGCGCAACCCUUGUCAUUAGUUGCUACGAAAGGGCACUCUAAUGAGACUGCCGGUGACAAACCGGAGGAAGGUGGGGAUGACGUCAGGUCAUCAUGGCCCUUAUGGGUAGGGCUACACACGUCAUACAAUGGCCGGUACAGAGGGCUGCCAACCCGCGAGGGGGAGCCAAUCCCAGAAAACCGGUCGUAGUCCGGAUCGCAGUCUGCAACUCGACUGCGUGAAGUCGGAAUCGCUAGUAAUCGCGGAUCAGCUUGCCGCGGUGAAUACGUUCCCGGGUCUUGUACACACCGCCCGUCACACCAUGGGAGCGGGUUCUGCCAGAAGUAGUUAGCCUAACCGCAAGGAGGGCGAUUACCACGGCAGGGUUCGUGACUGGGGUGAAGUCGUAACAAGGUA
RNAcentral lists this ribosomal RNA (1462 nucleotides) under metagenome. RNAcentral's name for it is "bacterial SSU rRNA". It matches the Rfam family "Bacterial small subunit ribosomal RNA". The record is from RNAcentral.